This 91-nucleotide transfer RNA is filed under the name Amycolatopsis acidiphila. Its description in RNAcentral is "tRNA-Arg". Lineage: Bacteria; Bacillati; Actinomycetota; Actinomycetes; Pseudonocardiales; Pseudonocardiaceae. The record is from RNAcentral.
UGGUCACCGGGCAGACCGACGCCGCGGUGCUCCGGCUGCCGCAGGCGGUGCUGCCCGGGGUGGCCGGGCAGAUCCUCACCGGCGUGAUCAU